RNAcentral lists this ribosomal RNA (425 nucleotides) under uncultured bacterium. RNAcentral's name for it is "bacterial SSU rRNA". It matches the Rfam family "Bacterial small subunit ribosomal RNA", at positions 354 to 796 of the family's 1533-position model. The record is from RNAcentral.
GUGGGGAAUCUUGCGCAAUGGGCGAAAGCCUGACGCAGCCAUGCCGCGUGAAUGAUGAAGGUCUUAGGAUUGUAAAAUUUUUUCACCGGGGACGAUAAUGACGGUACCCGGAGAAGAAGCCCCGGCUAACUUCGUGCCAGCAGCCGCGGUAAUACGAAGGGGGCUAGCGUUGCUCGGAAUUACUGGGCGUAAAGGGCGCGUAGGCGGACAGUUUAGUCAGAGGUGAAAGCCCAGGGCUCAACCUUGGAAUUGCCUUUGAUACUGGCUGUCUUGAGUACGGGAGAGGUGAGUGGAACUCCGAGUGUAGAGGUGAAAUUCGUAGAUAUUCGGAAGAACACCAGUGGCGAAGGCGACUCACUGGCCCGUUACUGACGCUGAGGCGCGAAAGCGUGGGGAGCAAACAGGAUUAGAUACCCGAGUAGUCC